AGCUGGAUUCUAUCGAACUGGUAGCAAAUGCUAGUGACAAUCUUUUGAAGUCAUGUGGAAUCAAAGCCGGGCAAAUAGCAAGGGUGCGGAUUGCAGUUGGAAUUGUUAGAAUAAAUCCCAAAGAGAAGCAGUUAUCAGAUACUGCAAGCGAAGCAUCCCCCUCAUCUUCCCAAGGUCUGAAUACUCAUUACUUGUUUUUUGAAGACUCGCCUUCUUCCCAAGACUCGCUUUCACAAGACUCAUUACAAGACCUACCAACCACACCUGGUAGGCCUACCUGUGCAAGUUAUAAAAGAAGCAAAGAUUAAAAAAAAAUCACCAGCUGCUACAUCUUUGGAUGCCGUGUCAGGCCAGCCGGCCUUUUCCCAUCUCGAUAAAGAACAAGAGAAAGACUGGUGUACUAAAUUUCAGCUGCCUACCUCAAGUUCUUGGCAAUCAGCGAUUAAAUAUAGAUUCAAGAACCUAAGAAAAACACGACAAGUUUCCUCUGGAAAUGGGACUGCAGUAGGAAAGCCAGAGAUGAAAAAAAGAAAGUGUGAGGCGGUCGAUACAGAAAAUGGGG
Anneissia japonica is the source of this 562-nucleotide long non-coding RNA. RefSeq lists it as uncharacterized. Lineage: Eukaryota; Metazoa; Echinodermata; Crinoidea; Comatulida; Comatulidae. The record is from RefSeq and is a predicted model, not a curated record. The transcript is spliced from 3 exons.